Oncorhynchus mykiss (rainbow trout) is the source of this 763-nucleotide non-coding RNA. NCBI's taxonomy places the organism in Eukaryota, Metazoa, Chordata, Actinopteri, Salmoniformes, Salmonidae. The record is from RefSeq and is a predicted model, not a curated record.
AUAUUGAUAACCAACAAUAUGUGUAAGUGUUAUGACGAUAGUGCUGAAAAACGGAAGAAUCAUGCUUCAAAUUGUUAUGAAUCUAAAGGCUACAUUAUGCAUGAUGCAACAAUGUAUUUUAUACUUCUUAUAAUAUAAUGAAUACGGUCAGCUGGACGUUUUAUGCACAUGGAAUGGUCUUUGGAAUUUGUCUGAUUAAUAUUUUUGGGCUAUUUAGGCGUUCAUUUGUUUUAUUGACUCAUUCAUUGAUUAAUUCGUUGAUGUAAUAAUUAAUUAAUUAAUUAAUUAAUUGGAUAAUUAAUUAAUUAAUUCAGUAAAUAUGCCUUCUACAAUGACCAAAGUCAUUAUAGACGGUAUUUCUCAUUAAUCUCACCCUGUUUUGUCAAGGGUGGUACCAAACAAAUGAUGAGGGACAUCUCGUUGGCAACGGUUGAGUACCAAGAUUGCUGUCUUAUCUCUGCAACAGUGACACCGCACGCCUUCCGGUGAGGUGUGUUGAAGGUUGAUUGAUAUACGUUUUCUCAGUAGGUCAAUAGUUAUGGAUAGGCCAGGUCUAUUGUUCAAGUCACAUGCUGCUGAACCUCUAUAAUCCUUACCACGUCGUGCGAUGUCACUCAGAUUUCCCUAAAAAUAGUGGCGCUGGUGAAACUACUGUGAAGGCUACUCUAACCUUGGUACCUCCACUUCUCUCGACCAGAGAGAUAAGAGGAAAGCGUCAAAGAUAGGUGUAUGGGCUAUUUGACCAAGAAGGAGAGUGAUGGAG